This 689-nucleotide unclassified non-coding RNA is filed under the name Hevea brasiliensis (rubber tree). The record is from RNAcentral. Lineage: Eukaryota; Viridiplantae; Streptophyta; Magnoliopsida; Malpighiales; Euphorbiaceae.
GUAUGUUCUUUCUGAUCUUUUCAAUGUUUGCUGGAAUUUAUUGUUAUUGGGUUCGUUUCGGUGAUGAUGUUCUGUUACUGUUAGGUUGGUUUUAAAAAGUAGGUAAAAAGAGAACUUGAGCUGUGGGUUUUAGUUCUUGGCUUGAUAUUUGUGGAAAGUGGAAACUUGAACUGUGAGAUACAAAAUUUUUGUUUGCUUUUUAAUGUUAAUUUUAUCCUCAGGAACCAGACACAGCGUAGGUUAGAUGGCGCAGUUAUAUUUUUUAGGAUUGUAACUGCUUUCUGUUUCAUAUAUUUAUUUUAGUUCUGCAAAUUCUUAUUUGUGGUUCUUGUUUGCUUGUUUAAAGGCUCAGAAUUCUUCUGCAAGUUAAAUGAUUUUAACAAUUUUAUGGUAGUUUUAUUACAACUACUUCAAGUUGAGAUAUCGGCCUUUUGAUUUCUUUUCCUCUCAAAAUUUAUUUGUGUUUAACAAUCCCAUGUGUGUUUUUACCUUUUUAAAUGUUUGAAAUUGAAAGUGUGUUUUUGAUGUUCUUCGUUACAAUCUUGUAGAAAAGGGGAGUUCGAACAAGGCCUGAGAAGAGAGAACUUUUUCCAUGUGCAGUGGGUCAGAGAGGAAACCGACUUAUACUGGUUUCAUCAUGGAGAAUAAAUUUCAAAAGCAAGAUGGGUAUUGCUGUAAUCUCUCUGUUU